RNAcentral lists this ribosomal RNA (1463 nucleotides) under uncultured Chloroflexus sp. RNAcentral's name for it is "bacterial SSU rRNA". It matches the Rfam family "Bacterial small subunit ribosomal RNA". Lineage: Bacteria; Bacillati; Chloroflexota; Chloroflexia; Chloroflexales; Chloroflexaceae. The record is from RNAcentral.
AGAGUUUGAUCCUGGCUCAGGACGAACGCUGGCGGUGCGCCUAAUGCAUGCAAGUCGAACGGGCGAAGGGGCUUCGGCCCCCUAGCUAGUGGCAGACGGCUGAGUAACACGUAAGUAUCUGCCCCGGAGAGGAGGAUAAGCCGGAGAAAUCCGGUCUAAUACUCCAUACGUUCUCUCUGUCUCGAUAGAGAGAAGAAAGGUUCCGGCGCUCUGGGAGGAGCUUGCGGCCUAUCAGGUAGUUGGUGGGGUAAAAGCCUACCAAGCCUAAGACGGGUAACCGGUGUGAGAGCACGAUCGGUCAGAGGGGGACUGAGACACGGCCCCCACUCCUACGGGAGGCAGCAGCAGGGAAUCUUGCGCAAUGGGCGAAAGCCUGACGCAGCGACACCGCGUGGGGGAUGAAGGCUUUCGAGUUGUAAACCCCUUUUCCCGGGGAUGAGAAAGGACAGUACCCGGGGAAUAAGGUUCGGCUAACUACGUGCCAGCAGCCGCGGUAAUACGUAGGAACCGAGCGUUGUCCGGAUUUACUGGGCGUAAAGUGCGCGUAGGCGGUUCGUUAAGUCUCAUGUGAAAUCUCCCGGCUCAACCGGGAGGGGUCAUGGGAAACUGGCGGACUGGAGUGCAGCAGAGGGGAGUGGAAUUCCCGGAGUAGUGGUGGAAUGCGUAGAUACCGGGAGGAACACCAGAGGCGAAGGCGACUCCCUGGGCUGUGACUGACGCUGAGGCGCGAAAGCGUGGGUAGCAAACCGGAUUAGAUACCCGGGUAGUCCACGCCCUAAACGAUGGAUACUAGGCAUGGGGGGUAUCGACCCCCUCCGUGCCGCAGCUAACGCAAUAAGUAUCCCGCCUGAGUAGUACGGCCGCAAGGCUAAAACUUAAAGGAAUUGACGGGGACCCGCACAAGCAGCGGAUCGUGUGGUUUAAUUCGAUGAUAAGCGAAGAACCUUACCAGGGCUUGACAUACGCCUGACCGGCUGUGAAAGCAGCCUUUCCUUCGGGACAGGUGUACAGAUGUUGCAUGGCUGUCGUCAGCUCGUGUCGUGAGAUGUUGGGUUAAGUCCCGCAACGAGCGCAACCCCUGUCGCUAGUUAGGAUGUCUAGCGAGACUGCCCCUACUGGGGUGAGGAAGGUGGGGUCGAGGUCAAGUCAUCAUGGCUCUUACGUCCUGGGCUACACACACGAUACAAUGGUUGGGACAGACGGUAGCGAAGGCGCGAGCCGGAGCCAAUCCCACAAACCCGGCCCCAGUUGGAAUUGCAGGCUGAAACCCGCCUGCAUGAACGCGGAGUUGCUAGUAACCGCAGGUCAGCACACUGCGGUGAAUACGUUCUCGGGUCUUGUACACACCGCCCGUCAAGUCAUGGAAGUCGGCAACACUUGAAGUCGCUGGGCUAACCCGCAAGGGAGGCAGGCGCCGAGGGUGGGGCUGGUGACUGGGACUAAGUCGUAACAAGGUAACCGUA